Molecule: ribosomal RNA, 165 nt
Filed under: Drimycarpus racemosus
Lineage: Eukaryota; Viridiplantae; Streptophyta; Magnoliopsida; Sapindales; Anacardiaceae
Description: 5.8S ribosomal RNA
Rfam family: 5.8S ribosomal RNA
About the family: 5.8S ribosomal RNA (5.8S rRNA) is a component of the large subunit of the eukaryotic ribosome. It is transcribed by RNA polymerase I as part of the 45S precursor that also contains 18S and 28S rRNA.
Source: RNAcentral
UAUAACGACUCUCGGCAACGGAUAUCUCGGCUCUCGCAUCGAUGAAGAACGUAGCGAAAUGCGAUACUUGGUGUGAAUUGCAGAAUCCCGUGAACCAUCGAGUCUUUGAACGCAAGUUGCGCCCCAAGCCGUCAGGCCGAGGGCACGUCUGCCUGGGUGUCACGC